RNAcentral lists this ribosomal RNA (88 nucleotides) under Schleiferiaceae bacterium. RNAcentral's name for it is "partial 23S ribosomal RNA". It matches the Rfam family "Bacterial large subunit ribosomal RNA", at positions 2837 to 2925 of the family's 2925-position model. The record is from RNAcentral. Lineage: Bacteria; Pseudomonadati; Bacteroidota; Flavobacteriia; Flavobacteriales; Schleiferiaceae.
GUUCAAGACUAGGACGUUGAUAGGCUAUAGGUGUAAAGGCAGUAAUGUCAUAGCCGAGUAGUACUAAUUACCCGUGAUCUUUAGCUCG